CGCCCUUGGGUGCAGCAGGCGCGAAAACUUUGCAACCCUUUAAAGCCUGACAGGGCUAUCCCAAGUGCCAUCCGCUGAGGAAGGCUUUUACCCAGUCUAGAACGCUGGGGGAAUAAGGAGAGGGCAAGUCUGGUGUCAGCCGCCGCGGUAAUACCAGCUCUCCGAGUGGUGUGGAUGUUUAUUGGGCCUAAAGCAUCCGUAGCUGGCUAAGUUAGUCCCUUGUUAAAUCCACCGAAUUAAUCGUUGGAUCGCGGGGGAUACUGCUUGGCUAGGGGACGAGAGAGGCAGACGGUAUUUUCGGGGUAGGGGUGAAAUCCUAUAAUCCCGGGAAGACCACCAGUGGCGAAGGCUGUCUGCUAGAACGCGCCCGACGGUGAGGGAUGAAAGCUGGGGGAGCGAACCGGAUUAGAUACCCGGGUAGUCCCAGCUGUAAACGAUGCAGACUAGGUGUUUGAACGGCCACGUGCCGUUCUAGUGCCGCAGGGAAGCUGUUAAGUCUGCCGCCUGGGGAGUACGAUCGCAAGAUUGAAACUUAAAGGAAUUGGCGGGGGAGCAC
Molecule: ribosomal RNA, 556 nt
Filed under: uncultured archaeon
Lineage: Archaea
Description: bacterial SSU rRNA
Rfam family: Archaeal small subunit ribosomal RNA
Source: RNAcentral